This 465-nucleotide ribosomal RNA is filed under the name Vreelandella stevensii. RNAcentral describes it as "partial 16S ribosomal RNA". It matches the Rfam family "Bacterial small subunit ribosomal RNA", at positions 338 to 795 of the family's 1533-position model. The record is from RNAcentral. Lineage: Bacteria; Pseudomonadati; Pseudomonadota; Gammaproteobacteria; Oceanospirillales; Halomonadaceae.
CCUACGGGGGGCUGCAGUGGGGAAUAUUGGACAAUGGGGGGAACCCUGAUCCAGCCAUGCCGCGUGUGUGAAGAAGGCCCUCGGGUUGUAAAGCACUUUCAGUGAGGAAGAACGCCUGGUGGUUAAUACCCAUCAGGAAAGACAUCACUCACAGAAGAAGCACCGGCUAACUCCGUGCCAGCAGCCGCGGUAAUACGGAGGGUGCGAGCGUUAAUCGGAAUUACUGGCCGUAAAGCGCGCGUAGGUGGCUUGAUAAGCCGGUUGUGAAAGCCCCGGGCUCAACCUGGGAACGGCAUCCGGAACUGUCAAGCUAGAGUGCAGGAGAGGAAGGUAGAAUUCCCGGUGUAGCGGUGAAAUGCGUAGAGAUCGGGAGGAAUACCAGUGGCGAAGGCGGCCUUCUGGACUGACACUGACACUGAGGUGCGAAAGCGUGGGUAGCAAACAGGAUUAGAUACCCUAGUAGUC